Halocaridina rubra (Hawaiian volcano shrimp) is the source of this 73-nucleotide non-coding RNA. The record is from the annotation of a GenBank genome assembly. NCBI's taxonomy places the organism in Eukaryota, Metazoa, Arthropoda, Malacostraca, Decapoda, Atyidae.
ACCCUCUAUGGUGUAGUUGGUAGCACCUUUUCUUAGUAAUUAGAAGUCCCAGGUUGAAUUCCCGGUCGGGGUA